GAGGAAUAUUGGACAAUGGAUGGAAAUCUGAUCCAGCCAUGCCGCGUGCAGGAAGACGGCCCUAUGGGUUGUAAACUGCUUUUGUAUGGGAGCAAUAAGGACUACGUGUAGUUUGAUGAGAGUACCAUACGAAUAAGCAUCGGCUAACUCCGUGCCAGCAGCCGCGGUAAUACGGAGGAUGCGAGCGUUAUCCGGAUUUAUUGGGUUUAAAGGGUGCGUAGGCGGCGAUAUAAGUGAGUGGUGAAAUAUUUCGGCUUAACCGAGAGACUGCCAUUGAUACUGUGUUGCUAGAAUAUGGUUGCUGUGAGUGGAAUGUGUGGUGUAGCGGUGAAAUGCUUAGAUAUCACACAGAAUAUCGAUUGCGAAGGCAGCUCACAAAGCCAUUAUUGACGCUGAGGCACGAAAGUGUGGGGAUCAAACA
This 421-nucleotide ribosomal RNA is filed under the name uncultured bacterium. RNAcentral describes it as "bacterial SSU rRNA". It matches the Rfam family "Bacterial small subunit ribosomal RNA", at positions 356 to 774 of the family's 1533-position model. The record is from RNAcentral.